This 258-nucleotide ribosomal RNA is filed under the name uncultured bacterium. RNAcentral describes it as "partial 16S ribosomal RNA". It matches the Rfam family "Bacterial small subunit ribosomal RNA", at positions 795 to 1052 of the family's 1533-position model. The record is from RNAcentral.
CCACGCCGUAAACGAUGGGCACUAGGUGUGGGAGGUGUCGACUCCUCCCGUGCCGGAGCUAACGCAUUAAGUGCCCCGCCUGGGGAGUACGGCCGCAAGGCUAAAACUCAAAGGAAUUGACGGGGGCCCGCACAAGCAGCGGAGCAUGUGGUUUAAUUCGACGCAACGCGAAGAACCUUACCUGGGUUUGACAUGUUCCUGACCGCCGUGGAAACACGGCUUCCCUCACGGGCAGGAUCACAGGUGGUGCAUGGCUGU